AGCCUCCUUGGAACAAGAAAUAUUGGUUUCUCCUCCUUAUCCUCAUCCUCAUCACAGUUUGGGUGCUUUGCAUAUGUAAGAAGAAGGAUGCAGGUGGGAGAGGAAGGAGCCACACUCAGGAAGAAGGAACAGUGGCCAGGACUCUGGUGAGACGGCCGUGGAUGAUGAGGAGAUGGUCAUUCUCUCUGGGGAGCCUGAGCCCUCUCGGAAUCGUCCAGACCACUCCUUCAGACUGAGUGAUCUGUCAUUCUGAAAAGGGUUUCUCCAUGAUUCAGUCCUGGCUGCCCUGUAACUCACUCUGUAGCCCAGGAUGGCCUCGAACCCACAGAGAUCCACCUGCCUCUGCCUGCCAAGUGCUGGGAUUAAAGGCAUGUGCCACCACCAUACAGCUCAGAAUGGAAUCUUCUGUUUUGUAUAUCACCAGACAUCUUCACAGUCAACUUGACUGGACUUAGAAUCACCUAGAAGCCGCCCCUCUGGAUGUGUCUGUGAGGGUGUUUCUAGCCAGGUUUAACCCAGGAGGAAGAAACAGGUUGAC
This 538-nucleotide long non-coding RNA is filed under the name Cricetulus griseus (Chinese hamster). RNAcentral's name for it is "lncRNA (ENSCGRG00015036783.1)". The record is from RNAcentral. Lineage: Eukaryota; Metazoa; Chordata; Mammalia; Rodentia; Cricetidae.